GAUAGUGGCGACGGGUGAGUAACACGUGGGCAAUCUGCCCUGCACUCUGGGACAAGCCCUGGAAACGGGGUCUAAUACCGGAUACUGAUCCGUCUGGGCAUCCAGACGGUUCGAAAGCUCCGGCGGUGCAGGAUGAGCCCGCGGCCUAUCAGCUUGUUGGUGAGGUAGUGGCUCACCAAGGCGACGACGGGUAGCCGGCCUGAGAGGGCGACCGGCCACACUGGGACUGAGACACGGCCCAGACUCCUACGGGAGGCAGCAGUGGGGAAUAUUGCACAAUGGGCGAAAGCCUGAUGCAGCGACGCCGCGUGAGGGAUGACGGCCUUCGGGUUGUAAACCUCUUUCAGCAGGGAAGAAGCGAAAGUGACGGUACCUGCAGAAGAAGCGCCGGCUAACUACGUGCCAGCAGCCGCGGUAAUACGUAGGGCGCGAGCGUUGUCCGGAAUUAUUGGGCGUAAAGAGCUCGUAGGCGGCUUGUCACGUCGGUUGUGAAAGCCCGGGGCUUAACCCCGGGUCUGCAGUCGAUACGGGCAGGCUAGAGUUCGGUAGGGGAGAUCGGAAUUCCUGGUGUAGCGGUGAAAUGCGCAGAUAUCAGGAGGAACACCGGUGGCGAAGGCGGAUCUCUGGGCCGAUACUGACGCUGAGGAGCGAAAGCGUGGGGAGCGAACAGGAUUAGAUACCCUGGUAGUCCACGCCGUAAACGGUGGGCACUAGGUGUGGGCAACAUUCCACGUUGUCCGUGCCGCAGCUAACGCAUUAAGUGCCCCGCCUGGGGAGUACGGCCGCAAGCUAAAACUCAAAGGAAUUGACGGGGCCGCACAGCGCGAGCAUGU
RNAcentral lists this ribosomal RNA (833 nucleotides) under Streptomyces sp. RNAcentral's name for it is "bacterial SSU rRNA". It matches the Rfam family "Bacterial small subunit ribosomal RNA", at positions 91 to 942 of the family's 1533-position model. The record is from RNAcentral. Lineage: Bacteria; Bacillati; Actinomycetota; Actinomycetes; Kitasatosporales; Streptomycetaceae.